This 200-nucleotide ribosomal RNA is filed under the name Clostridioides difficile. RNAcentral's name for it is "partial 16S ribosomal RNA". It matches the Rfam family "Bacterial small subunit ribosomal RNA", at positions 1343 to 1533 of the family's 1533-position model. Lineage: Bacteria; Bacillati; Bacillota; Clostridia; Peptostreptococcales; Peptostreptococcaceae. The record is from RNAcentral.
CGCAGAUCAGAAUGCUGCGGUGAAUGCGUUCCCGGGUCUUGUACACACCGCCCGUCACACCACGGGAGUUGGAGACGCCCGAAGCCGAUUAUCUAACCUUUUGGAAGAAGGCGGCGAAGGUGGAAUCAAUAACUGGGGUGAAGUCGUAACAAGGUAGCCGUAUCGGAAGGUGCGGCUGGAUCACCUCCUUUCUAAGGAGA